GGGCUCAUAGCUCAGUUGGUUAGAGCGCUUCAGUGACAUUGAAGAGGUCAUAGGUUCAAAUCCUAUUGAGCCCACCA
RNAcentral lists this transfer RNA (77 nucleotides) under candidate division WWE3 bacterium RBG_13_37_7. RNAcentral's name for it is "tRNA-Val". It matches the Rfam family "tRNA". From Rfam's summary of the family: Transfer RNA (tRNA) molecules are approximately 80 nucleotides in length. Their secondary structure includes four short double-helical elements and three loops (D, anti-codon, and T loops). Further hydrogen bonds mediate the characteristic L-shaped molecular structure. tRNAs have two regions of fundamental functional importance: the anti-codon, which is responsible for specific mRNA codon recognition, and the 3' end, to which the tRNAs corresponding amino acid is attached (by aminoacyl-tRNA synthetases). tRNAs cope with the degeneracy of the genetic code in two manners: having more than one tRNA (with a specific anti-codon) for a particular amino acid; and 'wobble' base-pairing, i.e. permitting non-standard base-pairing at the 3rd anti-codon position. The record is from RNAcentral. Lineage: Bacteria; candidate division WWE3.